UUUUGGCAUGUCUGAUGUCUCACAGCUCUCAUUUGUAUGCUUCCUCCACUCUACUAGAUUAAUAGAACAUAGCAUCGAUCACAAAAACACUUGGAAUGGACUUCGUCACUAUUCUGUUAGAUACCUAUUGCAAAUUCUUCUUGCAAUGGUUCUUUGAACUUUGUAAAACAGCAGGACACUCUGUACUGGCCUAUUAUUUCUACCACAAAGGCGACAGAGCUUCUCUAACAAUCAUUCAUGUGUCAUUUUGAGUGCUAUAUAUUUUGUUAGCAAAAAAAGUGGCAUGCUAAGUUAUAUUUUGUUACAAUGUACUACCUUUGAUCUUCAGUUUUGGAUAAUAGUUACAAUUGAAAAAACUUUCCUAAAGCCA
Long non-coding RNA from Amphimedon queenslandica, 370 nucleotides. RefSeq lists it as uncharacterized. The record is from RefSeq and is a predicted model, not a curated record. NCBI's taxonomy places the organism in Eukaryota, Metazoa, Porifera, Demospongiae, Haplosclerida, Niphatidae. The transcript is spliced from 2 exons.